This 59-nucleotide transfer RNA is filed under the name Ligilactobacillus equi DPC 6820. Its description in RNAcentral is "Lactobacillus equi DPC 6820 tRNA". It matches the Rfam family "tRNA", at positions 21 to 71 of the family's 71-position model. Rfam says of the family: Transfer RNA (tRNA) molecules are approximately 80 nucleotides in length. Their secondary structure includes four short double-helical elements and three loops (D, anti-codon, and T loops). Lineage: Bacteria; Bacillati; Bacillota; Bacilli; Lactobacillales; Lactobacillaceae. The record is from Rfam by way of RNAcentral.
ACGCGGUGGACUGUAAAUCCAUUCCUUCGGGUUCGGAGGUUCGAAUCCUCUCCCCCCCA